AAUAAGUGCAGUUUUAGCACUGUUCAUAUUCAUCGUUUGACCGUUCGUCUUAUUUAAAAAAAAGAUUAUGAUUAGUAUUUUUAUUGUUAUUAGAUGAUAAAACAUGAAUAGUACUUUAUGUGUGACUAAUUUUUUUAAUAUUUUUUAUAAAUUUUUUAAAUAAGACGGAUGGUCAAAGCGCUAAACACGAAUAUAUAUGGCUGCACUUAUU
RNAcentral lists this microRNA precursor (211 nucleotides) under Oryza glumipatula. RNAcentral describes it as "MIR812 microRNA precursor family". It matches the Rfam family "MIR812 microRNA precursor family". The record is from Rfam by way of RNAcentral. Lineage: Eukaryota; Viridiplantae; Streptophyta; Magnoliopsida; Poales; Poaceae.